Molecule: non-coding RNA, 213 nt
Filed under: Blautia sp.
Lineage: Bacteria; Bacillati; Bacillota; Clostridia; Lachnospirales; Lachnospiraceae
Description: T-box sequence
Rfam family: T-box leader
About the family: Uncharged tRNA acts as the effector for transcription antitermination of genes in the T-box leader family.
Source: RNAcentral
AAAAUGGCGAUGAAAAGGAAUAGUACCUGUUCGGAAUGGCACAGAGAGAGGACCGCUGGUGGAAGGUUCUCCCGGGAAGACAGGGAACCGGCCUUGGAGCUGCCUGUGAGGAGCAGGACGCGGGCUUUGGCGUUAGAAAAGCAUAAAGAGGGCGGCAGAAAAACAGCCGUCAAGAAGGGUGGUACCGCCGAAUCCAAGACAUCGGUCCCUGUU